Molecule: ribosomal RNA, 116 nt
Filed under: Bacillus spizizenii
Lineage: Bacteria; Bacillati; Bacillota; Bacilli; Caryophanales; Bacillaceae
Source: RNAcentral
UUUGGUGGCGAUAGCGAAGAGGUCACACCCGUUCCCAUACCGAACACGGAAGUUAAGCUCUCUAGCGCCGAUGGUAGUCGGGGGUUUGCCCCUGUGAGAGUAGGACGCCGCCAAGC